This 259-nucleotide ribosomal RNA is filed under the name Proteus mirabilis. Its description in RNAcentral is "partial 23S ribosomal RNA". It matches the Rfam family "Bacterial large subunit ribosomal RNA", at positions 160 to 457 of the family's 2925-position model. Lineage: Bacteria; Pseudomonadati; Pseudomonadota; Gammaproteobacteria; Enterobacterales; Morganellaceae. The record is from RNAcentral.
GAAUCCAUAGGUUAAUGAGGCGAACCGGGAGAACUGAAACAUCUCAGUACCCCGAGGAAAAGAAAUCAACCGAGAUUCCCCUAGUAGCGGCGAGCGAACGGGGAGCAGCCCAGAGUCUUAAUCAAUAACAGUGUCAGGAGAACGGUCUGGAAAGUCCGGCAGUAAAGGGUGAUAGCCCCGUAUCUGAAGAUGCUGUUAUUGUGAACUCGAUGAGUAGGGCGGGACACGUGUUAUCCUGUCUGAAUAUGGGGGGACCAUC